AACGAACGCUGGCGGCAUGCCUAACACAUGCAAGUCGAACGCGUGUAGCAAUACACGAGUGGCGGACGGGUGAGUAACGCGUGGGAACCUGCCCAAUGGUAGGGAAUAACUGCGGGAAACUGCAGCUAAUACCCUAUGCUCCCUACGGGGGAAAGAUUUAUCGCCAUUGGAGGGGCCCGCGUCGGGUUAGCUAGUUGGCGGGGUAACGGCCCACCAAGGCUACGAUCCGUAGCUGGUCUGAGAGGAUGAUCAGCCACACUGGGACUGAGAUACGGCCCAGACUCCUACGGGAGGCAGCAGUGGGGAAUAUUGGACAAUGGGGAAACCCUGAUCCAGCAAUGCCGCGUGAGUGAAGAAGGCCUUAGGGUUGUAAAGCUCUUUCGGCGGGGACGAUGGUGACGGUACCCGCAGAAGAAGCCCCGGCUAACUUCGUGCCA
Molecule: ribosomal RNA, 437 nt
Filed under: uncultured bacterium
Lineage: Bacteria
Description: bacterial SSU rRNA
Rfam family: Bacterial small subunit ribosomal RNA
Source: RNAcentral